GAUGAACGCUGGCGGCGUGCCUAAUACAUGCAAGUCGAGCGAACAGACGAGGAGCUUGCUCCUCUGACGUUAGCGGCGGACGGGUGAGUAACACGUGGAUAACUUACCUAUAAGACUGGGAUAACUUCGGGAAACCGGAGCUAAUACCGGAUAACAUGUUGAACCGCAUGGUUCAACAGUGAAAGACGGUCUUGCUGUCACUUAUAGAUGGAUCCGCGCCGCAUUAGCUAGUUGGUAAGGUAACGGCUUACCAAGGCAACGAUGCGUAGCCGACCUGAGAGGGUGAUCGGCCACACUGGAACUGAGACACGGUCCAGACUCCUACGGGAGGCAGCAGUAGGGAAUCUUCCGCAAUGGGCGAAAGCCUGACGGAGCAACGCCGCGUGAGUGAAGAAGGUCUUCGGAUCGUAAAACUCUGUUAUUAGGGAAGAACAAAUGUGUAAGUAACUAUGCACGUCUUGACGGUACCUAAUCAGAAAGCCACGGCUAACUACGUG
RNAcentral lists this ribosomal RNA (497 nucleotides) under uncultured bacterium. Its description in RNAcentral is "partial 16S ribosomal RNA". It matches the Rfam family "Bacterial small subunit ribosomal RNA", at positions 28 to 507 of the family's 1533-position model. The record is from RNAcentral.